UAGGGAAUCUUCCGCAAUGGACGCAAGUCUGACGGAGCAACUCCGCGUGAGUGAAGAAGGAUUUCGGUUCGUAAAACUCUGUUGUUAGAGAAGAACAGCGCAUAGAGUAACUGUUAUGCGUGUGACGGUAUCUAACCAGAAAGCCACGGCUAACUACGUGCCAGCAGCCGCGGUAAUACGUAGGUGGCAAGCGUUGUCCGGAUUUAUUGGGCGUAAAGCGAGCGCAGGCGGUCAAUUAAGUCUGAUGUGAAAGCCCCCGGCUCAACCGGGGAGGGUCAUUGGAAACUGGUUGACUUGAGUGCAGAAGAGGAGAGUGGAAUUCCAUGUGUAGCGGUGAAAUGCGUAGAUAUAUGGAGGACCACCGGUGGCGAAAGCGGCUCUCUGGUCUGUAACUGACGCUGAGGCUCGAAAGCGUGGGGAGCGAACAGG
This 429-nucleotide ribosomal RNA is filed under the name Bacteroidota bacterium. Its description in RNAcentral is "Bacteroidetes bacterium partial 16S ribosomal RNA". It matches the Rfam family "Bacterial small subunit ribosomal RNA", at positions 355 to 776 of the family's 1533-position model. Lineage: Bacteria; Pseudomonadati; Bacteroidota. The record is from RNAcentral.